RNAcentral lists this ribosomal RNA (490 nucleotides) under uncultured bacterium. RNAcentral's name for it is "partial 16S ribosomal RNA". It matches the Rfam family "Bacterial small subunit ribosomal RNA", at positions 30 to 507 of the family's 1533-position model. The record is from RNAcentral.
AUUGAACGCUGGCGGCAGGCCUAACACAUGCAAGUCGAACGGUAACAGAAAGCAGCUUGCUGCUUUGCUGACGAGUGGCGGACGGGUGAGUAAUGUCUGGGAAACUGCCUGAUGGAGGGGGAUAACUACUGGAAACGGUAGCUAAUACCGCAUAACGUCGCCAGCCCAAAGAGGGGGACCUUCGGGCCUCUUGCCAUCGGAUGUGCCCAGAUGGGAUUAGCUUGGUGGUGGGGUUACGGCUCAACAAGGGGACGAUCCCUAUCUGGUCGGAGGGGAGGACCAGCCACACUGGAACUGAGACACCGUCCAGACGCCUACGGGAGGCAGCAGUGGGGAAUAUUGCACAAUGGGCGCAAGCCUGAUGCAGCCAUGCCGCGUGUAUGAAGAAGGCCUUCGGGUUGGAAAGUACUUUCAGCGGGGAGGAAGGGAGUAAAGUUAAUACCUUUGCUCAUUGACGUUACCCGCAGAAGAAGCACCGGCUAACUCCGUG